This 301-nucleotide ribosomal RNA is filed under the name uncultured bacterium. Its description in RNAcentral is "partial 16S ribosomal RNA". It matches the Rfam family "Bacterial small subunit ribosomal RNA", at positions 509 to 807 of the family's 1533-position model. The record is from RNAcentral.
CAUUCGCCGCGGGAAUACGAAGGGUGCAAGCGUUACUCGGAAUUACUGGGCGUAAAGCGUGCGUAGGUGGUGGUUUAAGUCCGUUGUGAAAGCCCUGGGCUCAACCUGGGAAUUGCAGUGGAUACUGGGUCACUAGAGUGUGGUAGAGGAUAGUGGAAUUUCCGGUGUAGCAGUGAAAUGCGUAGAGAUCGGAAGGAACAUCUGUGGCGAAGGCGACUAUCUGGGCCAACACUGACACUGAGGCACGAAAGCGUGGGGAGCAAACAGGAUUAGAUACCCCAGUAGUCCCUGUCUCUUAUAC